UACGGGGGGGGCAAGCGUUGUUCGGAAUUACUGGGCGUAAAGGGCUUGUAGGUGGCCAACUAAGUCAGACGUGAAAUCCCUCGGCUUAACCGGGGAACUGCGUCUGAUACUGGAUGGCUUGAGUGUGGGAGAGGGAUGCGGAAUUCCAGGUGUAGCGGUGAAAUGCGUAGAUAUCUGGAGGAACACCGGUGGCGAAGGCGGCAUCCUGGACCAACACUGACGCUGAGUGAGCGAAAGCCAGGGGAGCAAACGGG
This 254-nucleotide ribosomal RNA is filed under the name uncultured bacterium. RNAcentral's name for it is "partial 16S ribosomal RNA". It matches the Rfam family "Bacterial small subunit ribosomal RNA", at positions 524 to 776 of the family's 1533-position model. The record is from RNAcentral.